UACGGAGGGUGCAAGCGUUGUUCGGAAUCACUGGGCGUAAAGGGCGUGUAGGCGGUCCGCUAAGUCUGAUGUGAAAGCCCGGGGCUCACCCCCGGAGGGGCAUUGGAAACUGGCGGACUCGAGUCUCGGAGAGGAAGGUGGAAUUCCUGGUGUAGCGGUGAAAUGCGUAGAUAUCAGGAGGAAUACCGGUGGCGAAGGCAGCUCUCUGGGACGGUACUGACGCUGAGACGCGAAAGCGUGGGGAGCGAACAGG
RNAcentral lists this ribosomal RNA (253 nucleotides) under uncultured bacterium. RNAcentral's name for it is "partial 16S ribosomal RNA". It matches the Rfam family "Bacterial small subunit ribosomal RNA", at positions 524 to 776 of the family's 1533-position model. The record is from RNAcentral.